Pantherophis guttatus is the source of this 249-nucleotide long non-coding RNA. RefSeq lists it as uncharacterized. The record is from RefSeq and is a predicted model, not a curated record. NCBI's taxonomy places the organism in Eukaryota, Metazoa, Chordata, Lepidosauria, Squamata, Colubridae.
ACCCUCUUGAAACAUACAGUACCCUCGGAAGGAAACUAGGAAAACUGUUUUGAGAAGAAAGAGCUGGGGGAGGAAAGAAUGAACGUUGCAGUGAAAUGGCUUAAUAGGCUGAAAUGGUGAAAGUGGACAACUGGACCAUCUCUUUCCCAGUCCUCCAGAGCACAGAGGAAUCUGAAUAUUGAUGCGUGCUGCCUAUAUGAAUAAAUUAAAGGGAUGGGAGAAAAAUCUGAAAUAAAGUAUUGCUUGUGA